This 158-nucleotide ribosomal RNA is filed under the name Evernia mesomorpha. RNAcentral describes it as "5.8S ribosomal RNA". It matches the Rfam family "5.8S ribosomal RNA". From Rfam's summary of the family: 5.8S ribosomal RNA (5.8S rRNA) is a component of the large subunit of the eukaryotic ribosome. It is transcribed by RNA polymerase I as part of the 45S precursor that also contains 18S and 28S rRNA. Functionally, it is thought that 5.8S rRNA may be involved in ribosome translocation. The record is from RNAcentral. Lineage: Eukaryota; Fungi; Ascomycota; Lecanoromycetes; Lecanorales; Parmeliaceae.
AAAACUUUCAACAACGGAUCUCUUGGUUCCAGCAUCGAUGAAGAACGCAGCGAAAUGCGAUAAGUAAUGUGAAUUGCAGAAUUCAGUGAAUCAUCGAAUCUUCGAACGCACAUUGCGCCCCUCGGUAUUCCGGGGGGCAUGCCUGUUCGAGCGUCAUU